Molecule: ribosomal RNA, 414 nt
Filed under: uncultured bacterium
Lineage: Bacteria
Description: partial 16S ribosomal RNA
Rfam family: Bacterial small subunit ribosomal RNA
Source: RNAcentral
CCUACGGGAGGCAGCAGUAAGGAAUCUUCCGCAAUGGGCGAAAGCCUGACGGAGCAACGCCGCGUGGGCGAUGAAGGCCUUCGGGUCGUAAAGCCCUUUUCUGUGGGACGAUAAUGACGGUACCACAGGAAUAAGCCACGGCUAACUACGUGCCAGCAGCCGCGGUAAUACGUAGGUGGCUAGCGUUAUCCGGAUUCACUGGGCGUAAAGAGCGCGUAGGCGGUGUGCUAAGGUGGACGUGAAAGCCCCCGGCUUAACCGGGGGAGGUCGUCCGAUACGUGUGCCCUUGAGGGUGGCCGGGGAAAGCGGAAUUCCCGGUGUAGUGGUGAAAUGCGUAGAUAUCGGGAGGAACACCAGUGGCGAGGGCGGCUUUCUAGCCCACUCCUGACGCUGAGGCGCGAAAGCGUGGGGCGC